RNAcentral lists this ribosomal RNA (492 nucleotides) under uncultured bacterium. RNAcentral describes it as "partial 16S ribosomal RNA". It matches the Rfam family "Bacterial small subunit ribosomal RNA", at positions 29 to 507 of the family's 1533-position model. The record is from RNAcentral.
AGUGAACGCUGGCGGUAGGCCUAACACAUGCAAGUCGAACGGCCGCACAGUAAGCUCUUGCUCUUACCGUUGGCGAGUGGCGGGUGGGUGAGGCAUACAUCGGAUUCUUCUUUUUCGUGGGUGAUAACGUAGGGACACUUACGCUAAUACCUCAUACGACCUACCGGUUAAAUCAGUGGAUCUUCGGACCUUUCCCGAUUCAAUUAGCCGAUGUCGGAUUAGCUAGUUGGCGGGGUAAAGGCCCACCAAGGCGACGAUCCGUAGCUGGUCUGAGAGGAUGAUCGGCCACACUGGAACUGAGACACGGUCCAGACUCCUACGGGAGGCAGCAGUGGGGAAUAUUGGACAAUGGGCGAAAGCCUGACGCAGCAAUGCCGCGUGAGUGAAGAAGGUCUUCGGAUUGUAAAGCCCUGUUGUUGGGAAAGAAAAGAAGUAGGUGAAAAUACGGAUGUUUUGACGGUACCUAAAGAAUAAGCAACGGCUAACUUCGUG